GACGAACGCUGGCGGCGUGCUUAACACAUGCAAGUCGUACGGUAAGGCCCUUUCGGGGGUACACGAGUGGCGAACGGGUGAGUAACACGUGAGUAACCUGCCCACAACUUUGGGAUAACGCUAGGAAACUGGUGCUAAUACUGGAUAUGUGCUCCUGCUGCAUGGUGGGGGUUGGAAAGCUCCGGCGGUUGUGGAUGGACUCGCGGCCUAUCAGCUUGUUGGUGGGGUAGUGGCCUACCAAGGCGGCGACGGGUAGCCGGCCUGGGAGGGUGACCGGCCACAUUGGGACUGAGAUACGGCCCAGACUCCUACGGGAGGCAGCGGGGGGGAAUAUUGCACAAUGGGCACAAGCCUGAUGCAGCAACGCCGCGUGCGGGAUGACGGCCUUCGGGUUGGAAACCGCUUUCAGCAGGGACGAAGCUUUUUGUGACGGUACCUGCAGAAGAAGCACCGGCUAACUACGUG
Molecule: ribosomal RNA, 465 nt
Filed under: uncultured bacterium
Lineage: Bacteria
Description: partial 16S ribosomal RNA
Rfam family: Bacterial small subunit ribosomal RNA
Source: RNAcentral